This 466-nucleotide ribosomal RNA is filed under the name Vreelandella stevensii. Its description in RNAcentral is "partial 16S ribosomal RNA". It matches the Rfam family "Bacterial small subunit ribosomal RNA", at positions 338 to 796 of the family's 1533-position model. Lineage: Bacteria; Pseudomonadati; Pseudomonadota; Gammaproteobacteria; Oceanospirillales; Halomonadaceae. The record is from RNAcentral.
CCUACGGGGGGCUGCAGUGGGGAAUAUUGGACAAUGGGGGGAACCCUGAUCCAGCCAUGCCGCGUGUGUGAAGAAGGCCCUCGGGUUGUAAAGCACUUUCAGUGAGGAAGAACGCCUGGUGGUUAAUACCCAUCAGGAAAGACAUCACUCACAGAAGAAGCACCGGCUAACUCCGUGCCAGCAGCCGCGGUAAUACGGAGGGUGCGAGCGUUAAUCGGAAUUACUGGGCGUAAAGCGCGCGUAGGUGGCUUGAUAAGCCGGUUGUGAAAGCCCCGGGCUCAACCUGGGAACGGCAUCCGGAACUGUCAAGCUAGAGUGCAGGAGAGGAAGGUAGAAUUCCCGGUGUAGCGGUGAAAUGCGUAGAGAUCGGGAGGAAUACCAGGGGCGAAGGCGGCCUUCUGGACUGACACUGACACUGAGGUGCGAAAGCGUGGGUAGCAAACAGGAUUAGAUACCCUAGUAGUCC